RNAcentral lists this ribosomal RNA (367 nucleotides) under uncultured organism. RNAcentral describes it as "bacterial LSU rRNA". It matches the Rfam family "Bacterial large subunit ribosomal RNA", at positions 2099 to 2465 of the family's 2925-position model. The record is from RNAcentral.
CUUUACUGUAGCCUGGUAUUGGGUUCGGGCUUUGACUGCGCAGGAUAGGUGGGAGACUAUGAAGCUGCCCUUGUGGGGGCAGUGGAGUCAUCAGUGAGAUACCACUCUGUCAAGGCUAGAAUUCUAACCGUCUGCCGUUAUCCGGCGACGGAACAGUAUCAGGUGGGCAGUUUGACUGGGGCGGUCGCCUCCUAAAUGGUAACGGAGGCGCGCAAAGGUUCCCUCAGGCUGGUUGGAAAUCAGCCGAAGAGUGCAAAGGCAGAAGGGAGCUUGACUGCAAGAGCAACAACUCAAGCAGGGACGAAAGUCGGCCUUAGUGAUCCGACGGCGCUGAGUGGAAGGGCCGUCGCUCAACGGAUAAAAGUUA